CCCCACCUCCCCUCCCCCGGCCCUUCGCUCAAGCUCAGCUCUGGUGGGCACUUAAAGGGACCUUUACACUCCGGCCAACUGCUUUGCAACUGACUCACAGGCGGCUCCUUCUCGUAUUGGGCGUCAAUCCCUUCUCAAUACNAAUCCCUUCUCAAAUCCCCCCCCCCCAGGCGGUCUGUGGGGGUGAUUUGGGGGAGGGGGGACCGGGAGAGAGGGAGUUUUAUUGUCUUUAUUUUGCCUCGCAGGUAGCAACAUUUUUAAGUCACUAACAUUUUCCUCUGGACUCCUCUGAUUGUCAGCCCCAUCUUCCAAAACCCAGCUGAGGACCGUGAAGACGAAGUUGCUUUGAACGGGGCAGUUUUCUGAGAUCUUUGCUCUUACAGUCUCUAGUCUUAAAUCAUAACAGAGAUCGAACCGGAGCGGGGCAGGGGGCCGGGGGGGGGAGAGUCAACGCGCCUGCAGGAUUUAAAAGAGACAAAAAUCCGAGCACCAGCAGGUUUAAGUUCCCGGGCUCUUCGCCUGUAGCCCGAGAAAAACAGCUGUUUGCUGGCUCCGAAAGCCACGGGGGCUGUUUGUACACAACUAUGAAAAAGGGGAAAUGCGGCUCGCCCUGGAGUGCGAAUCUAAUUUGAAAAUGUAGCAGGAGUGAAGCUCGCCCACUUAAAAACCCAGUUUCUUAUUUCUUUUGAAGAUAGACAGGAACAUGGGCAGGAUGUUUAUACGGCGAAAUGUAAACAUCGUCUCAGGGGUUCUUUAAUAAAAUGAAAUCAGAAAGAAAACUCCCUGGUAGUUCGCAUAGGGCCCCGUGCUGCGCCGUAUAAAAUAGCGCACGUCGCUUGAUUUGCUGCCGGGUUAGACUUUUGUUGUUGUUUGUUGUUGUUGUGAUAUAAAUGUGUGUUGAUUUUUUCAGCUAUGCCCAGACUUUGAUCCUCAGAAGUAAUGGAUCUCUCUCUCUCUCUCUCUCACACACACAUACACACCACAUGGGGGGCGAGGAGGAAAAGGAAGGCAAAGCCUUCCUCAGACCCCCACCCCCCAAAAGUCUGACCACCUUUUCAUCAGUAAAGCUGUCACUCACUAAUCAAGAGAUCUGUACAUCAGAGGGGAUGCGGCAGGCGGGGAGAGGGCCGGAGACCCUCCUUGCAUGGAUCACCUCUUCCUUCACUGGAUGGACGAUCAAACGUGCAGGCUGUGGUACCAGAAUAUGCCCAGCACAGUUUUUUCCCGAGCCCAUUGAGUUGGACGAUUGAGUGGAGCAGUCGGUUUCCUAUGAUGGAAAGUCUCCUGGAAGCAAAGAGAACACAAAUUUUUAGGGAUUCCACAUGAAUCCGCCGCUUGCUAAUUCCAGCAGAAUCUGACCAAGAAUUAAACUCAGCUGCAGCGUUAACACCUUUCAAAUGUAUCCUCCCAGGCUGGCUAUCCGCCUUCCCAGUUCGGAACCGGAAACGUUCUCCAGGGAGAGAGUUUUGGAGCAUCCUACGAACUAGAAAUGGAGCGAGUGGCUGGACUAGGAGGAAGGUGCAAACUCUUGUGGAGCAAAGUUUGGUGCAAGAUUUACAUCGAAAUAGUCGCUGCAAUGCAGGAAGAGGAGUGACUUUUAAUUGUGAAGCUUCGCGACUUAACGUCGAACCAGUUCAGAUCAGAGGCGCAUCCACACAGAAAUGUACCUCCGAUAACCCGAAAUAACGGACGGCUACAAUCUCCAGUGGCUUCAGCCUUCUGGCAACUGCCAUGCAAUACUGCGUGCGUGUUAUUUGUGUUUAAUAAUCAUGUGAUUGGCUCUCAUUUGAGUCGGAAAUAAUCAGAUCGGGGAAAAGCCUGGAUUUCAUCCGCAGCUUGCUCGCAGAAACUGAUCUGGGGGCAGGACAGAAAGCAAGUUAACAGGCAACAUAAAUAAUCCUGUGCCUAGAUGUGGCUCUGGGCAGGAUUGGUUUGGUUGCUUGACAACGUGCCAUCUGCAUAACGAUAGAGCCAUUAAAAUGGAUCUCUGCCUAUCCACCUUUUCAGUCCAUUUCAGUCCAUUGCAAACAGUCCAUUGCAAACAGUGAAGAAAGUUACUCGUGAAGGAUUUUGCGUCGCAACCCGCCAAAUCCUGGGAAGCAUGAUCGUGUGGUUAAAGCACGGGACUGGGAUUAGGGAAAUCAGAGUUAUUUUUCCCUGUCGCAGACCUGCUUUGUGAACUAACCUUUCCGUGCCUCAGUUUCUCUACCUAUAAAACCGGAAGUUAAGGGAGCUAUUUUGAGCUAAAUUCAUUCACGCUGGUUAAGCACGUCUGAGAUCCUCUGAGGCUCUACAGUUUUAUUCGCAUUACUUGCAACAGUGGACCCACUAGCAAACCUAUAUACUUGCAAAGAACCCAAACCCUCUAAUGAAGGCAGCAAUGCCAGGUUUGUGGACGGAGCAACAGGUAGAGGCUCUCGGAAGCAGGUGGAUUUAAAUAGACGGGGAGAUGCUCAUGACCCAAAGUUCUUAUUUUAUUUUUAUAUAGUAACAAGGAAACAGGUUUAUGGGGCCCUAAAUUACAGUUCCCAUUAGACUUCAAGGGGAGUUUUGCCUGAGUAGGGAUCUGGCCAAUUACCUAGUUUAUGUAGGGCCUUAUCCAACUCCCACUGAAGACAAUGGAAAUGCUCCCAUGGACUUCAGUGGAAGUCGGACCAGGCCCAUACAUAGGCCCCCCUUCAACAUCAGCUCCACAAUUUUGGAGUUCCCAAAACCGGGAACUCCAAGGACAUGGUUUCUCAGCCUGGGGUAGCGACCAUCUUGGUUUUCUUUAUAGCUAGAUAGGAGGGAGAUUCUGAAAUUAUAGGAGGAGUUCCCAGAACUUUUUUUCCUGAUCUAUCAUGGGGUCUGGGCAUGGAUAAUGUUGAGAACCUCUGAUUGAUAGUAAGGGCUUCUGAUAUUUGGUUUUAACCCCCAUCAAAAUGAAAUUGGUGUUUAUCCAAUAAACAAUGGGAGUGGUUACUUGUACCCA
RNAcentral lists this long non-coding RNA (2971 nucleotides) under Gopherus agassizii (Agassiz's desert tortoise). RNAcentral describes it as "lncRNA (ENSGAGG00000009299.1)". The record is from RNAcentral. Lineage: Eukaryota; Metazoa; Chordata; Testudines; Testudinidae.